UGGGGAAUAUUGGACAAUGGGGGCAACCCUGAUCCAGCAAUGCCGCGUGUGUGAAGAAGGCCUUCGGGUUGUAAAGCACUUUAGGCGGGGAAGAAGGCAUGGUGGUGAACCAUGAUUGACGGUACCCGCAGAAUAAGCACCGGCUAACUCUGUGCCAGCAGCCGCGGUAAUACAGAGGGUGCAAGCGUUAAUCGGAGUUACUGGGCGUAAAGGGCGCGUAGGUGGGUUGUUAAGUGAGAUGUGAAAUCCCCGGGCUUAACCUGGGAACUGCAUCUUAUACUGGCGAUCUAGAGUACUGUAGAGGGUAGUGGAAUUUCCGGUGUAGCGGUGAAAUGCGUAGAGAUCGGAAGGAACACCAGUGGCGAAGGCGGCUACCUGGACAGAUACUGACACUGAGGCGCGAGAGCGUGGGGAGCAAACAGGAUUAGAUACCCCCGUAGUCC
Molecule: ribosomal RNA, 443 nt
Filed under: uncultured bacterium
Lineage: Bacteria
Description: bacterial SSU rRNA
Rfam family: Bacterial small subunit ribosomal RNA
Source: RNAcentral